Molecule: long non-coding RNA, 1328 nt
Organism: Dermacentor silvarum
Lineage: Eukaryota; Metazoa; Arthropoda; Arachnida; Ixodida; Ixodidae
Exons: 3
Source: RefSeq, a predicted model, not a curated record
CUUGUGCGGUGGUUCGUGCCGCGCGCGCUUUGUUGGAAGCAUUUUUCUUUUGUUUUUGGACAUCAUGACGCAAGUUUUAGUGAAAUUGCUCUAUGAAGAUAAGUGGGAUGUUUAUCCGUUGAAGACGUUUGCUGACGCAGCUACUGGUCUUCGGGUGAUGUUCGAGCCUGGCAGUUUUGAUGAGUUGCGCGGCAGAAUUCAUGAUGGAAGGAAGGCGAACAAAGCCGCAGCCUAACUUCUGCACACAGGCAAACCGCAUGCCCUGGAGCGAAAGCGCGCGAAGCUAGCGCUUGCUGCCGCCGCUGCUUCGAUUGAAAUGUUACACAUGCACCAAAAGCCCAGGUGCUAACGUGUCGUUCGUCAAGAACAGCUUGGCGUCGUUUCUCGCAAGAGACAUCCAUUGAUGUGCAGCUGAUUCACCAGGAAGCUCGCAUCUCUGUUGCCACUCUGCGUCAAGUGGGAUUUUAAACUAUUUUUUUAUUCUGCCCUGUGGUAUACGCUGUGACGCUGUGAAGACUUACUUUCAUGGACGCUGUGAAGGCGUACUUUCGAUGUGUUCUGCCUUUUAGUUGUAAAGAAUUGGCUACCUUGUGAGUGGAGGUAGUUCCUUUUUCUUGUGAGAAUGUUUAUCAGCCUAACCAAGUGGUACAUGCGUACUUGAAACAGCAGCACAGAUGAGGAUAAUGAAAUAAGUAGGAACACAUACAAGCGCCGACUCAACUAGAAGUUUAUUCUUGAAGACAGGUUGUAAACACAUUGGAACUUGACAAAGAUAAGAAACCAUGUAUGCGUGGCCUUUGUGAUUAAACAAAAUUGUGUUUUCUGCUGUAAGGGGUAGAACGAACAAUUGUUUCAUCACAAAGAUCAGAACACAAGAGAAAUUAUGGAAGCCUUAUUUAUUGAUUGCAAAGAAGACAAAUGCAUAAGCUAUCUGUUGCUCUUAAUGGGAAAGAGUUGGGAUUUUUAAAACAGCUCUCCUUGUUUGGUGGUAUCACUUAUAGGACAUCUUUCACUGUUUUUUUUUUACCUGCAUAUUUAUACUACAAAACACGUCUUUCAUUCCUUUUUUUGUUGCACCGGGCUGUCUGCCACGCAUGCAUGGCUAUUUCUUUGUUAAGUUGGCCAGUGUGCUUAAUAUCUUUGUCGUCGCGAACAAACUUCUAGUUGAGUCAGCAUUAUUGUGUUCCUACCUUAUUUCACCGUUCUCAUCUUUGUUUGAGCUGUUUGUAAAGUAUGUACACACACCAAAUUACCAAAGUAUCCGUAAAAUUGAGAUACAUGAAGUUAUUUGCACUAUUCAUUUCUGCAAGAAUGGUAUAGCUUCUCAU